UUCUAAUAGAAUUAAUUAUUAGUAUAAUCUGCUCAAUGAAUUUAAAUAGCCGCAAUUAUUUUGUGCUAAGGUAGCAUAAUCAUUUGUCUUUUAAUUAAAGACUAGAACGAAAGAUUAAACUUUUUAAUUUCUUUCUUUAAAUAAAUUUUUAACUUAACUUAAAUAUUAAAAGGUAUUUAUAAAUUAAAAAGACGAUAAGACCCUAUCGAACUUUACUAAUGUUUAACUGGGGUAGUUAAUUAAAUAAUAUUUUAAUUUUUAAUUAAAAAUUUUCCAAAAAAUUUGAUAUUACUAAGUUACCAUAGGGAUAACAGCGUAAUAUUUUUACUAAGAUCAUAUUUUCAAAAAUGUUUACGACCUCGAUGUUGAAUAAUUACCUAAUUAAAUGCAAUAAUUUAUAAAGGAAGUCUGUUCGACUUUUAAUUUCUUACA
RNAcentral lists this ribosomal RNA (432 nucleotides) under Goyenia sp. CG237. Its description in RNAcentral is "partial 16S ribosomal RNA". The record is from RNAcentral. Lineage: Eukaryota; Metazoa; Arthropoda; Arachnida; Araneae; Desidae.